GGGACGCUGCAAGUGCUAUGACUGCGAGAACAACGAUGAUUGGCUGGUAAGAUAUUCGUUAGAGGGCACUGCAUUCAUGAACACCGUGCUGCUCUGGUGUUUGCCAAGAACCUGAAACAAAUAUGUUGCACUUAUUCCAGGCCGACGAGGAUUACGUGGAGUGCGCGUGCAAAACCAAAAACUGCAAAACUGGAGCCUGCGGUUGCAACAAGGUGCACGGUCCUUCCUUCCUGUGUAUUCGUGUCAGCAUUAUCUCCUUUGCAAAAGACUAGACAUGCUUAUUCUUUCUCUGAUCCUGACUGAGGCUAGUUGGUUCUUGUUUUGAAGAAACUGAAAGGGUGUAUGCAUCGGGUGUGAUAAUGGCUACGGGAUGAAAGAGGGUGUGUGCAUGACACUUUCUUCUUUUAUGUGUGUUGUUUCAUUCGUAGCUUGGAUAAUCAUGCUAGUGUAUAUCUCUGUUGCUCUGCAUGUACAAAGCAGCUGAUAAGUCCAAUGCUGGACCGGGAGGUACGGGUGGCACAAGUGACGCCGGAGGCUCAGGUUCCAACAAGCAAAUAAGAAUCGGGGUAAGUUUGUGCUUCCACUUGCGUAGUUUGUUGAGAGAAAUCAUAGGUUAAUUAUGUGUGUGUCUGCCCCAAUCUGUUCAGGGAUAAGCAACUAAUCCAGGUGAUGUGCUCCUUUUGUGCAGUGAUGACAGUAGGCUUGAGACAUACCAGAGCAUGAUGCAAGUCACCUUACUUUCUUACCAUCCUCAAGUCACCUCCUGUUGAGAUAUCUCCCACUGUAAAGCACAGCCAGGUUCCUGUAGAUUCCUUGUAAUGGUUGGUUACUCGAAGCAAGCACGGCGAAAACUCCAUGUUCCUCAGCCCUCAGGGGGCUCCAGUGGACCUAGAUUGAUCAGGCUGAUACACUUUAGAACAUAUAUAUACUUCUGAGUCGCAUAAGAAUAGUUGCCGUCAUCGGUUAUGCUGCCCGGAAAUGGGUGCUUCAGUUCGUUCUUAUACAUGCACAGUCUUGCAAAGGAUUUCUCUUAUACUUGAAGAGGAUUCUGGUAGUAUGAA
This 1061-nucleotide long non-coding RNA is filed under the name Triticum aestivum (bread wheat). Its description in RNAcentral is "long non-coding RNA (TAES_LNC011762)". Lineage: Eukaryota; Viridiplantae; Streptophyta; Magnoliopsida; Poales; Poaceae. The record is from RNAcentral.